UGUGUGUGCGUCCCUCGCCUCCCCUGGACCCCACACAGCUACCAACUACUGCUACCGCCAUGAUUCUUCACCACAGAAAAGUCAAACAACAGUUUUAUCCAGGAAAUAAAAGACAUAAAAGGACUUGCCACCACUUCUGACAACUGGGUUAAGUUCCUGGGACCCACAGAGUAGAAGGAAAGAACUAACCCUGACAAUUUGUCCUCUGACCUCCAGAAUCAAUCCUGUGGCAUACAAGAACCCAGAAAAGUGCAGGCUUCCCACAUUUAUCAGCCAGCCAUGACAUAAGACUGGGCACCUCCUCUCCUAUCAAGGCUGGACAAGGCAACCA
Molecule: long non-coding RNA, 331 nt
Organism: Peromyscus leucopus (white-footed mouse)
Lineage: Eukaryota; Metazoa; Chordata; Mammalia; Rodentia; Cricetidae
Exons: 3
Source: RefSeq, a predicted model, not a curated record